CAGUAGCCGCGGUAAUACGUAGGGUGCAAGCGUUAAUCGGAAUUACUGGGCGUAAAGCGUGCGCAGGCGGUUAUAUAAGACAGAUGUGAAAUCCCCGGGCUCAACCUGGGAACUGCAUUUGUGACUGUAUAGCUAGAGUACGGCAGAGGGGGAUGGAAUUCCGCGUGUAGCAGUGAAAUGCGUAGAUAUGCGGAGGAACACCGAUGGCGAAGGCAAUCCCCUGGGCCUGUACUGACGCUCAUGCACGAAAGCGUGGGGAGCAAACAGGAUUAGAGACCCGAGUAGUCCCUGUCUCUUAUAC
This 301-nucleotide ribosomal RNA is filed under the name uncultured bacterium. RNAcentral describes it as "partial 16S ribosomal RNA". It matches the Rfam family "Bacterial small subunit ribosomal RNA", at positions 509 to 807 of the family's 1533-position model. The record is from RNAcentral.